RNAcentral lists this non-coding RNA (24 nucleotides) under Gossypium hirsutum (cotton). Lineage: Eukaryota; Viridiplantae; Streptophyta; Magnoliopsida; Malvales; Malvaceae. The record is from RNAcentral.
ACUCACCGUACGCAAUUAUAUGUG